GACUAAGCGUACACGGUGGAUGCCCUGGCAGUCAGAGGCGAUGAAGGACGUGCUAAUCUGCGAUAAGCGUCGGUAAGGUGAUAUGAACCGUUAUAACCGGCGAUUUCCGAAUGGGGAAACCCAGUGUGUUUCGACACACUAUCAUUAACUGAAUCCAUAGGUUAAUGAGGCGAACCGGGGGAACUGAAACAUCUAAGUACCCCGAGGAAAAGAAAUCAACCGAGAUUCCCCCAGUAGCGGCGAGCGAACGGGGAGCAGCCCAGAGCCUGAAUCAGUGUGUGUGUUAGUGGAAGCGUCUGGAAAGGCGUGCGAUACAGGGUGACAGCCCCGUACACAAAAAUACACAUACUGUGAGCUCGAUGAGUAGGGCGGGACACGUGGUAUCCUGUCUGAAUAUGGGGGGACCAUCCUCCAAGGCUAAAUACUCCUGACUGACCGAUAGUGAACCAGUACCGUGAGGGAAAGGCGAAAAGAACCCCGGCGAGGGGAGUGAAAAAGAACCUGAAACCGUGUACGUACAAGCAGUGGGAGCACGCUUAGGCGUGUGACUGCGUACCUUUUGUAUAAUGGGUCAGCGACUUAUAUUCUGUAGCAAGGUUAACCGAAUAGGGGAGCCGAAGGGAAACCGAGUCUUAACUGGGCGUUAAGUUGCAGGGUAUAGACCCGAAACCCGGUGAUCUAGCCAUGGGCAGGUUGAAGGUUGGGUAACACUAACUGGAGGACCGAACCGACUAAUGUUGAAAAAUUAGCGGAUGACUUGUGGCUGGGGGUGAAAGGCCAAUCAAACCGGGAGAUAGCUGGUUCUCCCCGAAAGCUAUUUAGGUAGCGCCUCGUGAAUUCAUCUCCGGGGGUAGAGCACUGUUUCGGCAAGGGGGUCAUCCCGACUUACCAACCCGAUGCAAACUGCGAAUACCGGAGAAUGUUAUCACGGGAGACACACGGCGGGUGCUAACGUCCGUCGUGAAGAGGGAAACAACCCAGACCGCCAGCUAAGGUCCCAAAGUCAUGGUUAAGUGGGAAACGAUGUGGGAAGGCCCAGACAGCCAGGAUGUUGGCUUAGAAGCAGCCAUCAUUUAAAGAAAGCGUAAUAGCUCACUGGUCGAGUCGGCCUGCGCGGAAGAUGUAACGGGGCUAAACCAUGCACCGAAGCUGCGGCAGCGACGCUGAUGCGUUGUUGGGUAGGGGAGCGUUCUGUAAGCCUGUGAAGGUGUACUGUGAGGUAUGCUGGAGGUAUCAGAAGUGCGAAUGCUGACAUAAGUAACGAUAAAGCGGGUGAAAAGCCCGCUCGCCGGAAGACCAAGGGUUCCUGUCCAACGUUAAUCGGGGCAGGGUGAGUCGACCCCUAAGGCGAGGCCGAAAGGCGUAGUCGAUGGGAAACAGGUUAAUAUUCCUGUACUUGGUGUUACUGCGAAGGGGGGACGGAGAAGGCUAUGUUGGCCGGGCGACGGUUGUCCCGGUUUAAGCGUGUAGGCUGGUUUUCCAGGCAAAUCCGGAAAAUCAAGGCUGAGGCGUGAUGACGAGGCACUACGGUGCUGAAGCAACAAAUGCCCUGCUUCCAGGAAAAGCCUCUAAGCAUCAGGUAACAUCAAAUCGUACCCCAAACCGACACAGGUGGUCAGGUAGAGAAUACCAAGGCGCUUGAGAGAACUCGGGUGAAGGAACUAGGCAAAAUGGUGCCGUAACUUCGGGAGAAGGCACGCUGAUAUGUAGGUGAAGUCCCUCGCGGAUGGAGCUGAAAUCAGUCGAAGAUACCAGCUGGCUGCAACUGUUUAUUAAAAACACAGCACUGUGCAAACACGAAAGUGGACGUAUACGGUGUGACGCCUGCCCGGUGCCGGAAGGUUAAUUGAUGGGGUCAGCGCAAGCGAAGCUCUUGAUCGAAGCCCCGGUAAACGGCGGCCGUAACUAUAACGGUCCUAAGGUAGCGAAAUUCCUUGUCGGGUAAGUUCCGACCUGCACGAAUGGCGUAAUGAUGGCCAGGCUGUCUCCACCCGAGACUCAGUGAAAUUGAACUCGCUGUGAAGAUGCAGUGUACCCGCGGCAAGACGGAAAGACCCCGUGAACCUUUACUAUAGCUUGACACUGAACAUUGAGCCUUGAUGUGUAGGAUAGGUGGGAGGCUUUGAAGUGUGGACGCCAGUCUGCAUGGAGCCGACCUUGAAAUACCACCCUUUAAUGUUUGAUGUUCUAACGUGGACCCGUGAUCCGGGUUGCGGACAGUGUCUGGUGGGUAGUUUGACUGGGGCGGUCUCCUCCUAAAGAGUAACGGAGGAGCACGAAGGUUGGCUAAUCCUGGUCGGACAUCAGGAGGUUAGUGCAAUGGCAUAAGCCAGCUUGACUGCGAGCGUGACGGCGCGAGCAGGUGCGAAAGCAGGUCAUAGUGAUCCGGUGGUUCUGAAUGGAAGGGCCAUCGCUCAACGGAUAAAAGGUACUCCGGGGAUAACAGGCUGAUACCGCCCAAGAGUUCAUAUCGACGGCGGUGUUUGGCACCUCGAUGUCGGCUCAUCACAUCCUGGGGCUGAAGUAGGUCCCAAGGGUAUGGCUGUUCGCCAUUUAAAGUGGUACGCGAGCUGGGUUUAGAACGUCGUGAGACAGUUCGGUCCCUAUCUGCCGUGGGCGCUGGAGAACUGAGGGGGGCUGCUCCUAGUACGAGAGGACCGGAGUGGACGCAUCACUGGUGUUCGGGUUGUCAUGCCAAUGGCACUGCCCGGUAGCUAAAUGCGGAAGAGAUAAGUGCUGAAAGCAUCUAAGCACGAAACUUGCCCCGAGAUGAGUUCUCCCUGACUCCUUGAGAGUCCUGAAGGAACGUUGAAGACGACGACGUUGAUAGGCCGGGUGUGUAAGCGCAGCGAUGCGUUGAGCUAACCGGUACUAAUGAACCGUGAGGCUUAACCUUACAACGCCGAAG
This 2908-nucleotide ribosomal RNA is filed under the name Escherichia coli. Its description in RNAcentral is "partial 23S ribosomal RNA". It matches the Rfam family "Bacterial large subunit ribosomal RNA". Lineage: Bacteria; Pseudomonadati; Pseudomonadota; Gammaproteobacteria; Enterobacterales; Enterobacteriaceae. The record is from RNAcentral.